RNAcentral lists this microRNA precursor (85 nucleotides) under Triops cancriformis. RNAcentral describes it as "microRNA tcf-mir-10402 precursor". The record is from miRBase by way of RNAcentral. Lineage: Eukaryota; Metazoa; Arthropoda; Branchiopoda; Notostraca; Triopsidae.
UUCGUGAAUUUUAGCAUAAUGUCGUAACUGAGGAACUUAUCUAUUAUUCCUCUUACAAGGAUAUUAUGCUAAAUUUCAUGAGAUU